AAAAGAUUUGGUGUUUUGAUUCAAAGUUUUGAUUUAUUUCAUAAAGUCUUUGUUAUGUCUUGGUGGGUGUGACUUAUCUAUCAACAAAACAUUUAAUGAAAUUUUUGAAAGGUGAUAGAAAUGGUGAUGGGUGUGUAAGAAGUACUUCUCUUACACACACACAACUUGCAUGGCUUUAUUCACACCAACCUAUUUCCACUUGCAUGGCUUUAUGACUUAGUUGAAAAAUUUUCAAAAUUUUGAUGGCUUCAUUACUCUAAAAACCGGCCA
RNAcentral lists this long non-coding RNA (270 nucleotides) under Malus domestica (apple). RNAcentral describes it as "long non-coding RNA (MDOM_LNC018834)". The record is from RNAcentral. Lineage: Eukaryota; Viridiplantae; Streptophyta; Magnoliopsida; Rosales; Rosaceae.